AAAAGUUAAAAAGUUUAAGUUAAAAUCAUUACCGACAAAAUGUGAAAAAAAAAGCUAGGUAGAAAUGGUGUUGAGCUUGAAUGUGAAGCAAGGGGUUUGGGAUGAAAAAAUUUAUGGUGAAAGCUUAGUAAAGGGGUUGGGUUAUGAGUGUUAGAGAGUGAGAAAUUUUGAGGAAAAAAAUGGAAAAAAAAUUGGUGGUGGUGACUUUUGGGAGAGAAAAGGGUUUUGGUUUUGAUUUAGGUUUGGAGAAGAGGGGUUGAAUGAUAUUUUUU
This 272-nucleotide long non-coding RNA is filed under the name Lathyrus oleraceus (garden pea). RNAcentral's name for it is "Pisum sativum (pea) long non-coding RNA (PSAT_LNC002689)". The record is from RNAcentral. Lineage: Eukaryota; Viridiplantae; Streptophyta; Magnoliopsida; Fabales; Fabaceae.